ACGGAAGGCAGCAGUGGGGAAUAUUGCACAAUGGGGGAAACCCUGAUGCAGCGACGCCGCGUGAGUGAAGAAGUUAUUCGUAAUGUAAAGCUCUAUCAGCAGGGAAGAAAAUGACGGUACCUGACUAAGAAGCCCCGGCUAACUACGUGCCAGCAGCCGCGGUAAUACGUAGGGGGCAAGCGUUAUCCGGAUUUACUGGGUGUAAAGGGAGCGUAGACGGUUUGGCAAGUCUGAUGUGAAAGGCAGGGGCUCAACUCCUGGACUGCAUUGGAAACUGUCGGACUAGAGUGCCGGAGAGGUAAGCGGAAUUCCUAGUGUAGCGGUGAAAUGCGUAGAUAUUAGGAGGAACACCAGUGGCGAAGGCGGCUUACUGGACGGUAACUGACGUUGAGGCUCGAAAGCGUGGGGAGCAAACAGGAUUAGAUACCCUGGUA
Molecule: ribosomal RNA, 434 nt
Filed under: uncultured Lachnospiraceae bacterium
Lineage: Bacteria; Bacillati; Bacillota; Clostridia; Lachnospirales; Lachnospiraceae
Description: partial 16S ribosomal RNA
Rfam family: Bacterial small subunit ribosomal RNA
Source: RNAcentral